GAGUAGGGCGGGACACGUGGUAUCCUGUCUGAAUAUGGGGGGACCAUCCUCCAAGGCUAAAUACUCCUGACUGACCGAUAGUGAACCAGUACCGUGAGGGAAAGGCGAAAAGAACCCCGGCGAGGGGAGUGAAAAAGAACCUGAAACCGUGUACGUACAAGCAGUGGGAGCCUCUUUAUGGGGUGACUGCGUACCUUUUGUAUAAUGGGUCAGCGACUUAUAUUCUGUAGCAAGGUUAACCGUAUAGGGGAGCCGAAGGGAAACCGAGUCUUAACUGGGCGUUAAGUUGCAGGGUAUAGACCCGAAACCCGGUGAUCUAGCCAUGGGCAGGUUGAAGGUUGGGUAACACUAACUGGAGGACCGAACCGACUAAUGUUGAAAAAUUAGCGGAUGACCUGUGGCUGGGGGUGAAAGGCCAAUCAAACCGGGAGAUAGCUGGUUCUCCCCGAAAGCUAUUUAGGUAGCGCCUCGUGAACUCAUCUUCGGGGGUAGAGCACUGUUUCGGCUAGGGGGCCAUCCCGGCUUACCAACCCGAUGCAAACUACGAAUACCGAAGAAUGUUAUCACGGGAGACACACGGCGGGUGCUAACGUCCGUCGUGAAGAGGGAAACAACCCAGACCGCCAGCUAAGGUCCCAAAGUCAUGGUUAAGUGGGAAACGAUGUGGGAAGGCACAGACAGCCAGGAUGUUGGCUUAGAAGCAGCCAUCAUUUAAAGAAAGCGUAAUAGCUCACUGGUCGAGUCGGCCUGCGCGGAAGAUGUAACGGGGCUAAACCAUGCACCGAAGCUGCGGCAGCGACACUAUGUGUUGUUGGGUAGGGGAGCGUUCUGUAAGCCGUUGAAGGUGUGCUGUGAGGCAUGCUGGAGGUAUCAGAAGUGCGAAUGCUGACAUAAGUAACGAUAAAGCGGGUGAAAAGCCCGCUCGCCGGAAGACCAAGGGUUCCUGUCCAACGUUAAUCGGGGCAGGGUGAGUCGACCCCUAAGGCGAGGCCGAAAGGCGUAGUCGAUGGGAAACAGGUUAAUAUUCCUGUACUUGGUGUUACUGCGAAGGGGGGACGGAGAAGGCUAUGUCAGCCGGGCGACGGUUGUCCCGGUUUAAGCAUGUAGGCGGAGGU
This 1115-nucleotide ribosomal RNA is filed under the name Enterobacter hormaechei. Its description in RNAcentral is "partial 23S ribosomal RNA". It matches the Rfam family "Bacterial large subunit ribosomal RNA", at positions 410 to 1531 of the family's 2925-position model. Lineage: Bacteria; Pseudomonadati; Pseudomonadota; Gammaproteobacteria; Enterobacterales; Enterobacteriaceae. The record is from RNAcentral.